Amborella trichopoda is the source of this 174-nucleotide long non-coding RNA. RefSeq lists it as uncharacterized. The record is from RefSeq and is a predicted model, not a curated record. NCBI's taxonomy places the organism in Eukaryota, Viridiplantae, Streptophyta, Magnoliopsida, Amborellales, Amborellaceae.
GGAAAUAGCACAAAUGUUAGAGUUGAAUGUUAGGGAAACGAUACUUAAAGUAUGGAGUGGGUGAACAUCACAGAGUGGGAUAGGCAUUGGGGAAGGCAUUAGGGAAGGUUACUUUGGAAUCGAACUAUCAAAUGGUGUGGCUUGGCCGAAAUUUGCAUUCCCGGUUCGAGAUUG